RNAcentral lists this ribosomal RNA (112 nucleotides) under Caerostris darwini. Lineage: Eukaryota; Metazoa; Arthropoda; Arachnida; Araneae; Araneidae. The record is from RNAcentral.
AACGGCCGUACCAUGCUGAAUAUACCGGCUCUCGUUAGAUCACCGAAGUCAAGCAUCAUUGGGCGCGGUCAGUACUUGGGUGGGUGACCACCUGGGAACACUGCGUGCCGUU